UACGGAGGGGGCUAGCGUUGUUCGGAUUUACUGGGCGUAAAGGGCGCGUAGGCGGCUUAGUAAGUUGAAAGUGAAAUCCCAGGGCUUAACCCUGGAAUUGCUUUCAAAACUGCUUUGCUAGAGAGUGGUAGAGGAUGGUAGAAUUCCUAGUGUAGAGGUGAAAUUCUUAGAUAUUAGGAGGAAUACCGGUGGCGAAGGCGACCAUCUGGGCCAUUUCUGACGCUGAGGCGCGAAAGCGUGGGGAGCAAACAGG
Molecule: ribosomal RNA, 253 nt
Filed under: uncultured bacterium
Lineage: Bacteria
Description: partial 16S ribosomal RNA
Rfam family: Bacterial small subunit ribosomal RNA
Source: RNAcentral